RNAcentral lists this ribosomal RNA (483 nucleotides) under uncultured bacterium. Its description in RNAcentral is "partial 16S ribosomal RNA". It matches the Rfam family "Bacterial small subunit ribosomal RNA", at positions 30 to 507 of the family's 1533-position model. The record is from RNAcentral.
AUUGAACGCUGGCGGCAGGCCUAACACAUGCAAGUCGAGCGGAUGAAGGGAGCUUGCUCCUGGAUUCAGCGGCGGACGGGUGAGUAUGCCUUGGAAUCUUCCUGGUAGUGGGGGAUAACGUCCGGAAACGGGCGCUAAUACCGCAUACGUCCUGAGGGAGAAAGUGGGGGAUCUUCGGACCCUAAGCUAUUCGAUGAGCCUAGGUCGGAUUAGCUAGUUGGUGGGGUAAAGGCCUACCAAGGCGACGAUCCGUAACUGGUCUGAGAGGAUGAUCAGUCACACUGGAACUGAGACACGGUCCAGACUCCUACGGGAGGCAGCAGUGGGGAAUAUUGGACAAUGGGCGAAAGCCUGAUCCAGCCAUGCCGCGUGUGUGAAGAAGGUCUUCGGAUUGUAAAGCACUUUAAGUUGGGAGGAAGGGCAGUAAGUUAAUACCUUGCUGUUUUGACGUUACCAACAGAAUAAGCACCGGCUAACUUCGUG